GGUCACUGCUAUUGGGAUUCGACUAAGCCAUGCGAGUCGAGAGGGUUCGGCCCUCGGCAGACUGCUCAGUAACACGUGGAUUAUCUGCCCUUAGGUGGAGGAUAACCUUGGGAAACUGAGAAUAAUACUCCAUAGAUCUAAGAUGCUGGAAUGCACUUAGAUUAAAAGCUCCGGCGCCUAAGGAUGAGUCUGCGGACUAUCAGGUUGUAGUCAGGGUAAGGACCCGACUAGCCUACAACGGAUACGGGUUGUGAGAGCAAUAACCCGGAGACGAUAUCUGAGACACGAUACCGGGCCCUACGGGGCGCAGCAGGCGCGAAACCUUCACAAUGUGCGAAAGCGCGAUGAGGGGAUCCCAAGUGCUUGCACUUAAGUGUAAGCUGUUUCUUUGUUUAAAACGCAGAGAGAGGAAGGGCUGGGUAAGACGGGUGCCAGCCGCCGCGGUAAUACCUGCAGCUCAAGUGGUGACCGCUAUUAUUGGGCCUAAAACGUUCGUAGCCGGCUGAGUAAAUGCUUGGGUAAAUCGUGCCGCUUAACGGUACGAAUUCCGGGUAGACUGCUCAGCUUGAGACCGGGAGAAGCUAGAGGUACUCCUGGGGUAGAGGUGAAAUUCUGUAAUCCUGGGGGGACCACCAGUGGCGAAGGCGUCUAGCUAGAACGGGUCUGACGGUGAGGGACGAAACCCUGGGGCGCAAACCGGAUUAGAUACCCGGGUAGUCCAGGGCGCAAACGCUGCUUGCUUGAUGUUAGCUGGGCUCCGGGCUCAGCUAGUGUCGGAGAGAAGUUGUUAAGCAAGCUGCCUGGGAAGUACGAUCGCAAGAUUGAAACUUAAAGGAAUUGGCGGGGGAGCACAGCAACGGGUGGAGCGUGCGGUUU
RNAcentral lists this ribosomal RNA (876 nucleotides) under uncultured euryarchaeote. RNAcentral describes it as "bacterial SSU rRNA". It matches the Rfam family "Archaeal small subunit ribosomal RNA", at positions 21 to 903 of the family's 1478-position model. Lineage: Archaea; Methanobacteriati; Methanobacteriota. The record is from RNAcentral.